Long non-coding RNA from Micropterus salmoides (largemouth bass), 2879 nucleotides. RefSeq lists it as uncharacterized. The transcript has 3 exons. NCBI's taxonomy places the organism in Eukaryota, Metazoa, Chordata, Actinopteri, Centrarchiformes, Centrarchidae. The record is from RefSeq and is a predicted model, not a curated record.
UAUUUUAUGAAAUGAAGUUGUGUCAACAAACAUAGUUCAUGCAACAUACUCCGGUACAGUAGGUGGCGUAUGCACCUUUAAAAGUCAUGGCUGCAAUCUGCCAUAAAAGAAGAAGAAAAACACACUCCCAAAGGUGGAACCAAAGUUACCAGCAGUUGUACCACACGGAGGUAUUUCAGCAGGAGCCGGAAGUGAGUUAAAGUUGUGGCAACGCGCGGAAUAGCUGAAGUUCUGAGUUAAUUUAGUAUUUGUGGAAGAUUUGUGAGUUUAUUCAGGUAAACAUGGCGUCUAAACGUAAAUGUGACGCCACGGUUCCUGCGGAGGAAAGUGACCAACUGCUCAUCCGCCCGCUAGUUGCCCAACAGGUCCUUCACUUGAUGUGGAAGCUGGCUGUUUAUUUGAAUCAGCCAAGCAGUUCUUGGAAGAUGUUAACAUCUAGCAAAGUGUUCUUCCUCCACAGCCUCCAUCUCCAGGGAUAUUUCAGUGAUGUUCUACUUUGUUUCCAUCAGGUGGCUCUAACCUGACUGGACUUCACACCACGUCUUCCUGCCGCUCUGAGUCUUCUGUCUGUGCUGCAGUGACGGCCUUCAAGUCUGAGACCUUCUUACACACCAGACCAGAGUCUAACUGAUGGGAGAGACAAGAUUAGGCUCAAUAUAGACCUCUUUCAUGAAACCUGCAAAUAAUUAGAUUUGAUCAAUAUUUAUUUUAUUUAAAAGUAAAUAUACUUGCUGAAAUUACCAAAUAUAUUUCUGGUUUCUGGUUUCGUGUUGACAGAAAAAAAAGGCAUCUACGUGUUCAGAAAAACAAUACACACCUUCAUUCUCUCAUUCGCUCACCUAGACCAAGACCUUAUGGUCUUUUCCUUUGUGAGACUGACACAGAGAGCUCUAAAGUAAGAAUAUUCCACCAACUGUGUAGUGAUAGAGUACAUGUUGGUUUCCACCGUAUCACCAGGAUUUUCUUUGCAGCAGUUAGGCUGGAAAGCCAAAUUGUUUUUUCAUGCACAUGUAACCCAUGUUAAUGUUACCUUAAAACCACUAAAAGGGAAAACAAAUAAAAAUGUGAUGUAAACAAGCAAAUAAAAUUAGGCAUUAAAUCAGUAAUUUAAUGAGUGCAGCAGUAACAGCCAAUCAGAGUGACUCUAGCGCGGCUUGCUGGAGAGAGAGGAAAAACAGAGCGAGAGCAGUUGACCUUGAGAAGGAAACAACAGAGAAGUCUGAAACCGACCGAGAUGAAAGAGUAAAAAACAAGUUUUGAAGACUGUAAAACCUCAUUUCUUUUCCAUUUUUGGAGGAUUUUGUGUUGCUUUUAGUCCACAUUGAUGGAUUCUGUUUUUGGAUUUGCUGAGUGAAAACUACUAUUUACAACAUGUAAAUUAUGCAUUUCCUUGUUUUCUUUCGAGCUGAAUAUAACGUUAAGCCUAAGUGCCAGUAGCUAAACUAAAAAAAUGUGAAUUAUGUUGUGUAUUUUGUGGUUUUAUAUGUGUAAAAGAAUUGAAAAGCUACAUGCAUCAGGCACGGUCAAGUUUAGCCUGGUGAGAGAAUGGAGACGAACAUGGUUCAGAUUUAAUUUAACGUUUAACCUGUGUUUAGGUGCUAGUCUUCCUCAGUUAAUUUUGUUGAAGAUAUAAAAGACUGAAAUGUGUGUAUUUCCCUGUUGUAACAGGCCAGGUUUUUUUGUUGUGAGGAGCUGCUUGGUGUUUAUGCACGUGAAGCCGGGAAAGAAGAUGGCGAACCACCCAUAGAAUAAACUGCGUCGGAUACGGGUCUGUUCCACAAGACCAACCUAUACUCGCGGGAUAAGGACACUGAUUCGUUCACCUGAAUCGUGGUAGGACUGAAACUUUAUUAUUUUGCUGCAGUGUGCUGUGAAGUUCAUCUGGACUUUUAAAGGACUUAACAAAAGGACUAAUUUAGAGUUGUGAGUUGUUGAUUAUAUGCUGAUCUGUGAAGCAGUGUUUCACAUUUGUAUUUUGUGGUAUUGUAAUUUCCCUUAUUUUGCCAAAUUGGUGAUGCAAAUUUUUUUUUGUUGCUGUAAACUAAAAAAACUUAACCCAAAAACUUAUUGGUUAAGUGAAGUAAAGAGAAGGUAGAAACGAAAACUCUUAAAACAGGCCUCACUAAGAUAAAAUGAGAACUUAGAGCUUCUGACGCCAGUGUCUUUUUUCAGUUCAUUGCAAUGGGAGCGUCGCGUUUUUACGAGCUGAUAAAAACUCCAGCAGCGUGACGAGGUGCUGAGCGUUUUUUUUUCGGUCGCCGAGAGUUGAAAAAUGUUAAACUUUGGGAAAAAUGCUGCGCUCGUUACUGUCACUUUUUACCCAGCCGUCCAAUCACUGUGCAGGAAAUACUACACCGUAGCAACGUUUACUAUUCAGCAUUUAAAGGUGGUACUCACCGAACCCGCAUAGGGCGAGUCUGUCCAUCACACCUUCUUCACUUUCCACAGCAUAUGAGACAAGUUAUUAUAACCGUGAAAUAGGGGACGUUUUGUCAACAGGGCCUGUCUCUCUGUGUCUCUCUCACCUCUAUUGUCUCUACAGGUUCAUUUGGUUCAGUGGUGGAGCUCAGAGUUUUCUUCUCCCUGGAUGGAGUCCAACAACAACAAAUACUAAUUUUAACAUCAUGAAUUUCACAACACUAAAGUGAAGAAGUUUGAAGAAUGAAAGACUGAACUGAUGGAUUCUGACUGUUUUACGUCGUCCACAGAUUCAGGAGAAGCAGAGGAAUCAGCAUCAAGACCACCAGAGUCAACCUGAUGAUAUUCAUUAUUAUUGUUGAAUUCCCUAGAAGUACAGAAAGACAUGUGACAUCACUCAUUAGCAGGAUUAGAGUAAGGAUUAAUAAAUCACUUUGCCAGGUGAUUCUAUCUGUUAAUCA